Long non-coding RNA from Columba livia (rock pigeon), 1302 nucleotides. RefSeq lists it as uncharacterized. The record is from RefSeq and is a predicted model, not a curated record. The transcript is spliced from 3 exons. Lineage: Eukaryota; Metazoa; Chordata; Aves; Columbiformes; Columbidae.
CAGAAACAGGGACUGGCUGUGUUCUCUCCUCCUCAUAAAACACUCAUCAGCUGCAGACAGGGAUGGACCUGAUGCUCUGUGUUGCUUCUCUGCCUGCCAAAGCUUCAGGUCUGACUGCAUGCUUCAACCUGGAGCCUAAGCCAGGCUGAAAUCCAGCCUUAAGCUCAAGGACAGACAUUCCACCUCAGCACAAAGUGGCCAUGAAGGGUUGGAAGGAGGAUGUGCACAGAGCUGUGGAAAUUAGGAGGAAAAAAUGGUGACCUGUGACUUCAGCAAAAGUGAGCCAAGGGAAAAUAUGAAUGCUCACGAUGGCACCUUGCAGCUGGUGCCCAGCACUGACCAGCUCAGCAAGAGCCCAGAGAAGCCGGUCCUCGUGCCAGCACGGUGCUACCCGCAGCCGAGCAUCCCUCCGGCAGAGCCGCAGCAGGGACCUGUGCCCAUGGACGCUGGGUGGUACCCGCAGCCGAGCAUCCCUCCGGCAGAGCCGGGGCAGGGACCUGUGCCCCAUGGACGCUGGGUGCUACCCGCAGCCGAGCAUCCCUCUGGGAGAGCUGGGGCAGAGACCUGUGCCCAUGGACGCUGGGUGGUACCCACACCUCCCCGAACACCGCAGCUCACCCAGGAGGAUGCUGCUCCAGCUUUUCUCCUCCUCUCGCAGGAGGGAGGAGAGCAAACCCCACAGUGACACGCACCCGGGACCGCAUCCUUCUCCAGUCACCCUCCCUCCUCCUCUCUGCUCUUUUCUCUUUCUCUCCUUCAAUUUCUGUCUCCACCAUGACUUCCCCUCCCUGCCACUUUUACACAUGCCUCCCUUCCCAUUUUUAUCUCUGGAUACCAAAGAAGAUUAGACUUUCUCUAAUUACAUAUCUGUUUGUUGGUGGUGUCUCCAAGCUUUGCCUAAAAGCUGCGUUGCCUCAGAUGUUCUUGCGUGCAGGCUUUCUGCUUGGUUACACUUGUUUAUUACUCGUUCAUUAGCUUUUUUACAUUGCUGGAGAUCUGAGCCGCUCACAUGGCAAAGGAGGCUCGAAGUGACAGCACUGAAAGGCGCUGCUAGUGAGAUUAUAGCUGCUGGCUGGCGGGGCUGGGAGAGCCGCAGAGGGCAAGGCGGGAGCGCUGCCUUUGUGCGCGGCUCAAAGGGCCCUGUCAGCCGGCGUCAGGCAGCCUCCUGGAAAAAAGGAACUUUCCAAAACCCCAUGAGAACUGGUUAAAUUAACCCUUUCCCUGGCGGCCGCCCCCCGAGGGGCUGCGGGCAGAGGCAGGGGAGCUGCUGAGCUGCCCUCCCACGGGUACGUGUGUUCCGCA